This 76-nucleotide transfer RNA is filed under the name Desulfosporosinus orientis DSM 765. Its description in RNAcentral is "tRNA-His (GTG) (tRNA-His-GTG-1-1)". It matches the Rfam family "tRNA". From Rfam's summary of the family: Transfer RNA (tRNA) molecules are approximately 80 nucleotides in length. Their secondary structure includes four short double-helical elements and three loops (D, anti-codon, and T loops). The record is from RNAcentral. Lineage: Bacteria; Bacillati; Bacillota; Clostridia; Eubacteriales; Desulfitobacteriaceae.
GUGGAUAUGGCGAAGUGGUUAACGCACCGGAUUGUGGCUCCGGCACUCGUGGGUUCAAGUCCCAUUAUCCACCCCA